Molecule: transfer RNA, 76 nt
Filed under: Pseudomonadales bacterium
Lineage: Bacteria; Pseudomonadati; Pseudomonadota; Gammaproteobacteria; Pseudomonadales
Also listed under: 1 other name
Description: tRNA-Arg
Rfam family: tRNA
About the family: Transfer RNA (tRNA) molecules are approximately 80 nucleotides in length. Their secondary structure includes four short double-helical elements and three loops (D, anti-codon, and T loops).
Source: RNAcentral
CCGCCUGUAGCUCAGUGGAUAGAGCGACCGCCUCCUAAGCGGUAGGUCGCAGGUUCAACUCCUGCCAGGCGGACCA